Molecule: long non-coding RNA, 4505 nt
Organism: Myotis daubentonii (Daubenton's bat)
Lineage: Eukaryota; Metazoa; Chordata; Mammalia; Chiroptera; Vespertilionidae
Exons: 3
Source: RefSeq, a predicted model, not a curated record
AAUGGAGACACAGAACUAUCAUGUUUUCACAUCAUUGUUAAUAGACAAUAUGUCAGUGAUUUUCAACUAGUGUGCUGCAAGAAUUGUUAAAACAUGCAAUUCCUAUUUAGUCAGGGGCACUGACCUCUUUUCCCUUAAAUUGUCAAAUUAAAAAAUGACAGCAACCAACACAAGCCAUCCAAUGUGAAUGAAUAAAAAUUAUACCUGUUGUGUUUUUUUUUGGUCAGAUUGGCAAAACAUAUAUUUUUUUGUUGUGCUGCAGAAUUGUAGUAAUCACUACAUGUGUCACAAGAUGAAAAAGGUUGAAAAUCAUUGGCCUGUGUGGAUUUGAGCUAAAAUUUCUUGGCUUGGCUUUGGCAGAGAACAGUACAUACCCUUGGCAGUGAGUUUGGAUGUUGUCUAAUUUACUGUGUUUCACCUUACUGGAGCACUUUUUAAGAAGUAGCAUUGCUCAGCAGGCUUGAGGGCUCAUUGGACAGUCAAAGCUUUGUUACUAGGCCUGUCCCUGGCACUGAUUUGCAAAGUGAACUCCCUGAACUCUUCUCUUUCCUCAUGCUGAGGUGGCCAUGUAAUGGCAUUAAGGGUUGCACAAACUUUCCAUAUUCAGUCUAUUAAAUAUGUGAUUUUUGUUGUUGUUAGUCGUACUGUUGACACAAAUGGUGCCUCCCUAUUGACAGGAAGGCACUAUUUUACCAUUUCAAUCUUGACUUUUCCAACAAUAUGUUUGCUCUGGGUGCUCUGGUUAUUAAUAGGAAACACUUAGGCUUUUGCGGUCUCUUUGUUUCAUCCUGGUUAUAAUAUAAAUGUAUUAUAUUUUAUUUAAUCUACAUAAAGACCCUAUGAGGUAGGCUGGACAGAUGAAUAAACUAUUAUACAGAUGAAUAAAAUGAGUCCCAGGCACACUGGCAACCCCUUUAAGAUUUCUCAGCUGCUGUGUAUGAGAACUGGCACUCAAACUCAGGUUUCUGAUAUCUAUUUCUGUAUUUCUAAACAUAUUUCCACAUGUUUUCGAGACAUUUCACAUACUAAUUUCAAUGUAAUAAAGAUCUUUCAAGCUGACACACGAAUAUACAUCUGGGGAAAAUUAUCUGAAACAAUUUAACGCUUAGAAAAUGUGGAGGUAGCUAAGCAAGGCUCUCAGAAAUAUUUACUUUAUAGAAAUAGAUGGGUUAUCUGGUGUUUGGUCAUUUGUUUAUUCCUUCCUUAAUGCAACAAAUAUUUAUAAAGUGCCUACUAUGUGUUGGAUGUUGAUGCUUUCCUACCACUGAGGAUACACACACGUUACAGCAUGAUGCCUGCCUGAUGGAGCUUAGCCCUAGCCAAUAUGAAGCUUUUCCAAUGCACAGACUAUGUUGGCACUAACAAAAUAUAGUCAGCAGCACCAACUAGACAUGAACAACAAUUGUUGCAGUUUAGUUUUUAUUUCUCCCUUAUUUUUUCAAUAGCGUAUAUUAGUUCAUACGUUUCUCAAGAACAGUGCGUUAAGAAUGAAAGGGUGUCCUGCUUCCAAACAUAUUUCACAUAAAAAUUGAACUCCAAAGCUUAUGCAGUAGGAUUUUAUUUAUAUCAUGUCCCACUUGAUAUAAGAUACAUGCCCUACUUGUAUUUAUUUACUUUUGGAUCAGGAAGUAAAGGAAAGAGAGGAGUAAAAACUAGCGGAUGAUGUGAGCUGAAAAACAAUGAAAUUAUUUUAUUUACCAAAUGAGUUGAUACGUUUUCUUCAGGUGUAUUAAGUUUGUGGAGUAUGAUAGACCUGUUUGUUUUGAACUCCUUAGAAGUUCAGAUUUCAUGUCUAAUUAUCACUACCCCUUGAGCUCUUACCUCUUUCCUGCUAAUUGGUUAAUAUUUUGAUGCAUGAUUAUGGGGUAGUGAAUGAUGCACUAGAAAUUCCGGUUUAGUGAAGCCAUGGAAGCAGAAAUUAUCUUGGCAGUUAAUUCCAUAAUCUGCCUAAUCUUCCAAUUCACGUCAAUUUCUCCUCAAAGAAGGGGACUUGGAAUUUUCAUUAUUAUGGAUGUUUUCCCCCAAGACAAGUUAUAACUCACCUGUGAGACUCUGACUUAUAAAUGGUUGUUUUCUGUCAACAUUAGACAUGACCUUUAUCUGAGUUUUAGAUCAGGAAGAAAAAACACAACAAUGAAAACGCCUGCCAAAUAAUAGAAAGUAUUUGUAUGCAGUAUAUCAUUAGAAUAAUUUUACGCAAAAUAAAAAAAAAAUGUUUGCUAUUUUCAAUGCUUGUCUCUGGGAAGCGGAUUUGUGAAUUCUUUGUUUCAACAUGGUUUCCCAGUGGAUUAACUAUUUAAUCUUCUCAGAGUGUUAAAAUAGUUUUCCUCUGGCUGAGGCUUUAUUUGAAGCAAAUGACAGCUAAGCCAAAGGGGUAAUUUUCAUGAUACCUCACAAUUAUUAUGUAGUCUUUCUGAAUGUUUAAGAAUUAUAUCUGAGGUUCCUUUGUCCUUCGUUUCUUUUGAAAUUAUUAGCCAUUUUAUAUAUAGAACAUAAUUUUUAGUACUUCUAUAAUUAUUGACAAAAUUGAUUUUAAAACUUGAAGGGGACCUUGAUGGGGCCAGCUGGUUGAAACUUUUUUUUUUUUUAAGGCAGUUGAGGCAAUAGCGGCCCAGACAAGUUGAGAGAAUUGCUUGAGGACCCACAACUAGCAGCUCAAGUCUUCUUUGUGCUGUGGAUUUCGCUGGCAGACAUCCCAGAAAUAAAAUAAACUUAAAAAACUGCAGUUUUAAUCCCUUAAGCCCUCCCUAUAAAAGUUCAUUUUGACAUUUUGGUGAGUUCUUCCAUCUCAGUGCCCAUUAUUUUGGCUUCUAGAAACUAGACCAGUGAUUCUAGUGAGCAGGGGACCCUGGAGUAGCUAUCCAACUUUAUAUUCCUGGUAUAUUCAAAUGUGAAGAAAUUGCCAAAACUGAGUAAUAAACAUAAUAUAGACAGUUUUCAACAUUGGCAUGUAACACAUGGAUGCUCUAACAGCAGCUACAGAAGGACAAUGUGGGAGCAGUCUAAUUUUGAAAUAAUGAUAAAUAUGUACUGGUAAACAGCAGGAUUUUGUAAAUGCUCAGCCUGGAAUGUGUGGCCUCUCCUCCUCCCCUCACCUCGAUUCUUACAACUUUCCCUCUCCUCCUGUAGACUUGAGGAUUGUACCACAUUGCAGCAAAAAUGGCAGCCGCACUACAAAGGAGGUGGCUGGAGGGUGGGGUUGAGGUAGAGGUCAGAUGGGGUGAGGUGAGUUGUAUUUAUUGGGAUCUGGAAUUGGAGACUGAGGUAGAAAUCUGAGUGGUUUAAAAAGACCCCUUUUGAGUAUUACUUAACUAGAUAGAUGGUUCUAAACUUCUAAAUAAUAUAUCAGCCCUUCCCAUCCUUAUUUUAAAAGGAAAUAAAGAAUAAAACACAAUUUGAUCAUAAUGGAGACCCAUCAUCCAAAAAAAUAUCCUAAAUCUCACCUCUUCACAAAAUCUUUCUAGACUGCUCCCACGCAGGGACAUUUCUGCCUUUUGAUGGGAUUGGUCUUCUUUGUAUGAUUCUUCUUCCACUCUCUCUAAAAUCCCAAUGGGAGGGGUACACACAAUGUAGUGGUUUUCACUGUUUGGCUUAAAAUGUUCCCCAAACUCAGAGAACAUUUAAUGCUUUUUUGUUGUUGUUCAUUUUUUGUAGAAGAUGCUAACAGUAUUCACAGCAUUAUUACAAUAGAAUAUUUGAAGGGCAUUGGGGUUAUUGAAUCGAAACAAGCUGAUAUCUGUAAAUCUAGUUUGGAAUGGAGGUCAUUCAGGAUUUAAUCCCAGGAUCAUUUAAUUUGUGUAACUGUCCUCCAUGUGCUUCUUCAGUAAGAGCAAGAAAGAAAAAAAAAGUCACACUUGGUUGUGGAGAGGUGGGCAGCAUGUGCCCAGGGACUGAAACAAGAGUAGAUAUUCACAUUCUUUGACACAGCUGCACAGUCAGUUUGGAGUUCUAAAGAAGAGACUUUUUCUUUCAGCAAGCAGGAACAAGAAACCUUGGAGAGGGUCAAGCUGUAGUUAUUCAUUACGAUGCGACAAUUUUUUUUUGUUUAUCACAUAAUUGUUGAAUGUCCACUGUGCCCUGGAAUCACAGAAGUUGGAGGCAUUAAAGCAAUGGGAGGUGCAUGAUUGAAUGAACAUUGGAUGGUUAAAAAACUUUUUUGGUCUGGACUCUUACCAAUGAUAAACUUUGAGUAGGAGUUAUCCACUUAACCUCAGUGGACUUUGGAAAGGAUUAAAAGAAAUAACCAUGUGAAAGCAUUUGGAAAACAGUUUUUACACAAACAUAGGCAGUAAUAUUAUUAGAGAUGAGUUUGAGAUAACCAGGAAUGGGCAUGUUGGUUAUAUUCCAAACUCUAGCAAUUGGAUUAGUCAUUCUCUAAUAUGUAACCCAUAACUUGAAUUUGCAAAGUGCUUGUAGCUGUUUGUAUUUUUUUGUUUUUGAGUGUCUAUUACUUGCAUCACUAUGAAUGAAACAAAAAUGUGUAUAAAUACUUUUAAAAAACCUUA